GGUGACAGCUCAGUGGUAGAGCACUUGCCUACCAUCCAAAAGACUCUGGGUUCAAUACCCAGCACUA
This 67-nucleotide transfer RNA is filed under the name Heterocephalus glaber (naked mole-rat). It matches the Rfam family "tRNA". From Rfam's summary of the family: Transfer RNA (tRNA) molecules are approximately 80 nucleotides in length. Their secondary structure includes four short double-helical elements and three loops (D, anti-codon, and T loops). Lineage: Eukaryota; Metazoa; Chordata; Mammalia; Rodentia; Bathyergidae. The record is from Rfam by way of RNAcentral.